GAUGAACGCUGGCGGCGUGCCUAAUACAUGCCAGUCGAGCGAACAGACGAGGAGCUUGCUCCUCUGACGUUAGCGGCGGACGGGUGAGUAACACGUGGAUAACCUACCUAUAAGACUGGGAUAACUUCGGGAAACCGUAGCUAAUACCGGAUAAUAUAUUGAACCGCAGGGUUCAAUAGUGAAAUACGGUUUUGCUGUCACUUAUAGAUGGAUCCGCGCCGCAUUAGCUAGUUGGUAAGGUAACGGCUUACCAAGGCAACGAUGCGUAGCCGACCUGAGAGGGUGAUCGGCCACACUGGAACUGAGACACGGUUCAGACUCCUACGGGAGGCAGCAGUAGGGAAUCUUCCGCAAUGGGCGAAAGCCUGACGGAGCAACGCCGCGUGAGUGAUGAAGGUCUUCGGAUCGUAAAACUCUGUUAUUAGGGAAGAACAAAUGUGUAAGUAACUAUGCACGUCUUGACGGUACCUAAUCAGAAAGCCACGGCUAACUACGUG
RNAcentral lists this ribosomal RNA (497 nucleotides) under uncultured bacterium. RNAcentral describes it as "partial 16S ribosomal RNA". It matches the Rfam family "Bacterial small subunit ribosomal RNA", at positions 28 to 507 of the family's 1533-position model. The record is from RNAcentral.